GGUGGAGCAGCGGCGUCAGGAGCAGUGGGAGAAGCGGAGUCGGUAGCAGGACCGAUCAGCCUGGACAUGAAGAAACUAGCUCAUGGCAUAGCCUGUGAGGCGGAGAAGCUGGAGGAGGACAGGAAGAAGUUGGAGUGCCACAAUAAAUCUGAAAUGGGGCAAUUAUUGACCCCCCAGUACCGUACCCAACUGCAGAGGAAAGCACAGGAAGUUCAGGAGGAGCUGGGAUGUCCCCUUGUUUUUUAACUGCUGUGAAUUGACACGAUGGGUUCAUCCCUGUGCACCUGACCUCUGCUUGCAAUGUGUCUGUCAUCCACCAGGAGGCAGACCGCAGGAUCCUGGGAGUCCUGCUGGAGGGGGAGCAUUCGAUCUAAAUACCUUGAGAUUUGUACUAAAGACCUAUACUCCAUUGUUUGUUUUUGUUCUCGUACAGCAGGGGUGUCAAACUCAUUCCAUUCCUAGUGUCUGCGUGUUUUAGUUUUUUUCUUUCA
Long non-coding RNA from Coregonus clupeaformis (lake whitefish), 491 nucleotides. RefSeq lists it as uncharacterized. NCBI's taxonomy places the organism in Eukaryota, Metazoa, Chordata, Actinopteri, Salmoniformes, Salmonidae. The transcript has 3 exons. The record is from RefSeq and is a predicted model, not a curated record.